GAUGAAGAACGUAGCGAAAUGCGAUAAGUAGUGUGAAUUGCAGAAUUCAGUGAAUCAUCGAAUCUUUGAACGCACAUUGCGCCCCUUGGUAUUCCAUGGGGCAUGCCUGUUCGAGCGUCAUUUGUACCUUCAAGCUUUGCUUGGUGUUGGGUGUUUGUCUCGCCUUUGCGUGUAGACUCGCCUUAAAAUAAUUGGCAGCCGGCGUAUUGAUUUCGGAGCGCAGUACAUCUCGCGCUUUGCACUCAUAACGACAGCGUCCAAAAGUACAUUUUACACUCUUGACCUCGGAUCAGGUAGGGAUACCCGCUGAACUUAAGCAUAUCAAUAGCGGAA
Molecule: unclassified non-coding RNA, 333 nt
Filed under: soil metagenome
Description: partial contains 5.8S ribosomal RNA, internal transcribed spacer 2, and large subunit ribosomal RNA
Rfam family: 5.8S ribosomal RNA (bases 1-120)
Source: RNAcentral